This 168-nucleotide non-coding RNA is filed under the name unclassified sequences. Its description in RNAcentral is "Clostridiales-1 RNA". It matches the Rfam family "Clostridiales-1 RNA". The record is from RNAcentral. RNAcentral also lists the same sequence under 1 other name.
UGAUACCAGGGUCAAAAGGUCUAAACCCACAUGAGCUUGCUCAUAGGUGGGUGAAAGACCUUGGGACCCGCCCCGAUAUGAGCAUAAAAGUGGGAUGAUAAUCCCAUGAUAUGCGAAUAUUGGGGAGAAUUGCGGGAGUGCGUAGCACGGAGUAAUUCGUAGGUAUCA